This 328-nucleotide ribosomal RNA is filed under the name uncultured eukaryote. Its description in RNAcentral is "partial 18S ribosomal RNA". It matches the Rfam family "Eukaryotic small subunit ribosomal RNA", at positions 1470 to 1796 of the family's 1831-position model. The record is from RNAcentral.
CCCUUAGAUGUCCGGGGCUGCACGCGCGCUACACUGAAGGAAUCAGCGUGCUAAAACCAUUGUCGAAAGGCAUUGGUAAACCCAUUAAAAUCCUACGUGAUUGGGAUCGGGAAUUGCAAUUAUUUCCCUUGAACGAGGAAUUCCCAGUAAGUGUGGGUCAUAAGCUCGCGUUGAUUACGUCCCUGCCCUUUGUACACACCGCCCGUCGCUGCCCGGGACUGAGCCGUUUCGAGAAAAGCGGGGGCUGCUGCUGUCGGGGCUUUCGGGCCUUGGCUUCGGUGGAAACCGCUUUAAUCGCAGUGGCUUGAACCGGGCAAAAGUCGUAACA